Molecule: long non-coding RNA, 1774 nt
Organism: Leptopilina boulardi
Lineage: Eukaryota; Metazoa; Arthropoda; Insecta; Hymenoptera; Figitidae
Exons: 12
Source: RefSeq, a predicted model, not a curated record
AUUUUGUCCGCUAGGCGGUGCUCGACAUGGACAAUUCGUCGUUUUCGUUUUCCAUCGUUUCCUAUUGUUUUUUGGUUUCUUCAGUGAAUUAUAAGUAAUUAUUAGUUAUUUUCAUUUGUUUUUGCAACUUUUUACAUAUUUCAACACGUUUUUGAUAUUAUUUUCAAGUAUAAAUUGAAUAAAUUACAACAAAAGAUUGAAAGUCCAAAUUGCAUAUUGAGAAUAAAUAUCGAGAAAAUGAGUGAAGAAGUUUAUAAAUUGGAAAAAUAUUAUAUAAAUUGAAAGUUUUUGAUAAAAAUGAAUCGACACAAUUUUCUAUGGCGGAAUGAAAAAAAGGUGUUCCUGAAAGAAGAAUUUUCAAUGACAAUUAGUGUUCGACUGAUAUUGGAAUAUUUUGAAGCCAGUGGCUGCUAUUUUUUACUCUUGAAGAUAUAACUGGAUAAUUCUUUAAUUUAUUGACAACAUGGUGUUCCUGAAAGAAGAAUUUUCAAUGACAAUUAUUGUUCGACUGAUAUUGGAAUAUUUUGUAGCCAGUGGCUGCUAUUCUUUACUCCUGAAGAUAAAAUUGGAUAAUUCUUUAAUUUAUUGACAACAUGGUUAUUCUGGAAGAAAUAAUUUUGAUGACAAAUUGAGUUCUGAUUGGAAUCAAAUGCAGUUUUCGUUGACAUGAAACUGAAUAAUUCUUCAUUUUAACAACAACAUGGAGCAUCCUGUCCUUCCACUAUACCUGUGAUGAUUCUAUCCUUGUGGUGUCACGUGUACUUCAAAGAUAAAGGCUUGACUUGAAGGACACAGAAUUCACACAGACUUUUUAGAACUUGGUCUAUUUUUACGGUUAUUUUUCACAUUUUCUAAAUGGAAAUUUAACUUGAAAGUAGGGAUCUCCGAGGGCUAUUUAGUUUGAAAGGAUCUCAUUGAUGCUGAAAAUUCAUCAUUAAGGGUAGAAUACAGUGGAAAAUUAAAAUCGCAACCAAUAAUGGCAGAGUAAUAGCAGUUAAGCCCCAAAGAAAAUCAUCGAACGUUAUUAGUGCCCAAAUGAAUCAAAAGGACCGGAAGGAUGAUGGAGGAUAAACAACUAUGGAAAUAUAAAUCCUACGACGUGGGAUUCUCCAAUCGACCCAUCAUCGACAAUGGUAAACGAUUCAUCAACCGUAUAGCAAGAGUCUGACAGCUCAUAAAACUCCAGACAUGUUGAAUCGGUGUUGGAGGUCACUACAUGAGCGUCGGUAUCGAUACAUUUUUGAAAAGUGCAUUCCCGCGUCAAUUUCGUCGUUAAGACCACGUGUUCGCGACGUUAUUUUAUUUCAAUAUUUUUACAUAAGUAAAUUUUUAUCUAUCGGGAGUGCUCGUAUUUCUUAAACCCGCGAUCGAGUGAUAUGUUAAUUUUUUUAAAAAAUGUACUUUUGAGUUAAUUUUAAUUAAAAUAAUUUUUUAUCGGGAGUAUUGGUAAUUAUUUAAAACCGCGAUCGUUUAAUUAGAAAAAAAGAAGUUUUAAUUAUUAAACACGUGGUUCGGGAGUGUCCAAAAAAUUUUUAAAUCGCGAGUGAGUAUUUUUUUUUUGUGCCAAUUUCUGGAAAACAUCGUUCGAGUGCCGCUUCGGGAUGAAGAUCGGGCAUGGGCGAAGGGUGUCCACGACUGAAGGACAGGAAGGAGGAUGCAGAGAAAGCAUGGCCCCUGCAUAGUUUCCCGGUCUCCCCGUAUCGAAGAGGGGCCACUGGGGAACUGGUCCAGAAGAGGCGAUGCUGCCAUCGCUCCGUCGAGGGAAUUCGCGAUC